RNAcentral lists this long non-coding RNA (239 nucleotides) under Panax ginseng (ginseng). RNAcentral describes it as "long non-coding RNA (PGIN_LNC005139)". Lineage: Eukaryota; Viridiplantae; Streptophyta; Magnoliopsida; Apiales; Araliaceae. The record is from RNAcentral.
UGCCUUCUUACAUAAGAGUCAAUAAUUGGUGCAAUACCGUGUGCUACCGUGCAACAACGCGUAUUACUGUGUUUUAACCACCGGGUAUUCCAACAGUGUAAACGGUAACAACUACGCCGUUAUUUUUAAACAACUUAUAUUUGUCGUUUUCUUCCUCCAAUCGCUUUCCGUUAUGGGGCCCACACAUGGCUGCGCCGUCGUACGAAUAUUCCCCGACAGUACGAAUAUUCCACGACCAA